Molecule: long non-coding RNA, 432 nt
Organism: Marmota flaviventris (yellow-bellied marmot)
Lineage: Eukaryota; Metazoa; Chordata; Mammalia; Rodentia; Sciuridae
Source: RefSeq, a predicted model, not a curated record
UUUUGAAAAACAAAGACACAAAACAAAACCAGCCCCUAUUUUAAAGACAGGUGGGUGGAGGAAAAAACACUCCUAAGAGUUAAAAACUUAGUGGUCACAAAUUCCUGUUAAAUGACAGGAAAUGCAUGUCAGGGUCUGCUCCGCCCACAGCAGCUCUUUCUCUGAGAAUUUCACCUCCAUAUCUACGGUUAUUCACAGUCCUGGCUCUUGACCACCCUGAUGCAGCUCAAGCAUGGACAAAUGACCACAACUGGGUAAUGAGAGGCCCCUCCUAGCUAUCGAGAACUCAUCCUCCGGUUCUGGAGGCCAGAGCCUUCCUCCAUGAUGCUCCACCUCACCUUGGACCCAGAGCUAUGGAGUCACCCUGUCCCUCUAUGGACUGACCCUCCAAAACCAUGAGCCAAAAUAAAUUUUUCCACCAAAAUAAAUUUU